This 1026-nucleotide long non-coding RNA is filed under the name Homo sapiens (human). RNAcentral describes it as "non-protein coding lnc-KANK3-1:1". The record is from RNAcentral. Lineage: Eukaryota; Metazoa; Chordata; Mammalia; Primates; Hominidae.
CUGCCUCCUGAGUUCAAGUGAUUCUCCUGCCUCAGCCUCCUGAAGAGCUGGGAUUACAGGCGCACGCCACAAUGCCCAGCUAAAUUUUGUUUUUUUUUUUUGAGACGGAGUCUCGCUCUGUCACCUAGGCUGGAGUGCAGUGGUGCGAUCUUGGCUCACUGCAAACUCCGCCUCCCGGGUUCAUGCCAUUCUCCUGCCUCAGCCUCCUGAGUAGCUGGGACUACAGGCACCCGCCACCACGCCCGUCUAAUUUUUUGUAUUUUUAGUAGAGACGGGGUUUCACCGUGUUAGCCACGAUGGUUUCAAUCUCCUGACCUCGUGAUCCGCCUGCCUUGGCCUCCCAAAGUGCUGGGACUACAGGCGUGAGCCACCGCGCCUGGCCAAUUUUUGUAUUUUCAGUAGAGACGAGGGUUUCAACAUAUUGGUCAGGCUGGUCUCGAACUCCUGAACUCAAGUGAUCCGCCUGCCUCAGCCUCACAACAUUCUGGGAUUACAGGCAUGAGCCACCACUCUGGCCGCAAUUUCCAAUCUCCUUUUCUCUCUCUCUGUCUCUCUCUCUCUCUCUCUCUCUCUCACACACACACACACACACACACAAACACACACCCCUCUGCUUCCAUCAUAACACCUUCUAUAACUCUGACCCUCCUACCUUUCUCUUCUUUUUUAUUUUGAGACAGAGUCUCUGUCUUUCAGGCUGAAGUGCAGUGGUGUGAUCUUGGCUCACUGCAAUCUCUGCUUCCUGGGUUCAAGAGAAGUGAUUCUCAUGCCUCAGCCUCUGGAGUAGCUGGGACUACAGGCAUGCACCACCAUGCCUGGCUAAAUUUUUUGUGUGUUUUUAGUAGAGGAAGGGUUUCACCAUGUUAGCCAGGCUGGUCUCGAACUCCUGGCUUCAAGUGAUCUGUCCGCCUCAGCCUCCUAAAGUGCUGGGAUUACAGGCGUGAGCCACUGUGCCAGCCAUAAUGAUUUUAUGUUAUGAGACAGGGUCUCACUCUGUUGCCCAGGCUGCAGUACAGUGGCUCAAUC